GAAGGUGUGCUGUGAGGCAUGCUGGAGGUAUCAGAAGUGCGAAUGCUGACAUAAGUAACGAUAAAGCGGGUGAAAAGCCCGCUCGCCGGAAGACCAAGGGUUCCUGUCCAACGUUAAUCGGGGCAGGGUGAGUCGACCCCUAAGGCGAGGCCGAAAGGCGUAGUCGAUGGGAAACAGGUUAAUAUUCCUGUACUUGGUGUUACUGCGAAGGGGGGACGGAGAAGGCUAUGUUGGCCGGGCGACGGUUGUCCCGGUUUAAGCGUGUAGGCUGGUUUUCCAGGCAAAUCCGGAAAAUCAAGGCUGAGGCGUGAUGACGAGGCACUACGGUGCUGAAGCAACAAAUGCCCUGCUUCCAGGAAAAGCCUCUAAGCAUCAGGUAACAUCAAAUCGUACCCCAAACCGACACAGGUGGUCAGGUAGAGAAUACCAAGGCGCUUGAGAGAACUCGGGUGAAGGAACUAGGCAAAAUGGUGCCGUAACUUCGGGAGAA
This 490-nucleotide ribosomal RNA is filed under the name Escherichia coli. RNAcentral's name for it is "partial 23S ribosomal RNA". It matches the Rfam family "Bacterial large subunit ribosomal RNA", at positions 1252 to 1744 of the family's 2925-position model. The record is from RNAcentral. Lineage: Bacteria; Pseudomonadati; Pseudomonadota; Gammaproteobacteria; Enterobacterales; Enterobacteriaceae.